GCUCGUGUAGCUCAGUGGUUAGAGCUUCGUGCUUAUAGAACGCGACCGUCGUGGGUUCGAACCCCACCUCGAGCA
RNAcentral lists this transfer RNA (75 nucleotides) under Torulaspora delbrueckii. RNAcentral describes it as "tRNA-Ile". It matches the Rfam family "tRNA". Rfam says of the family: Transfer RNA (tRNA) molecules are approximately 80 nucleotides in length. Their secondary structure includes four short double-helical elements and three loops (D, anti-codon, and T loops). RNAcentral also lists the same sequence under 5 other names. Lineage: Eukaryota; Fungi; Ascomycota; Saccharomycetes; Saccharomycetales; Saccharomycetaceae. The record is from RNAcentral.